This is a long non-coding RNA of Syngnathoides biaculeatus (alligator pipefish), 3568 nucleotides long. RefSeq lists it as uncharacterized. Lineage: Eukaryota; Metazoa; Chordata; Actinopteri; Syngnathiformes; Syngnathidae. The record is from RefSeq and is a predicted model, not a curated record. The transcript is spliced from 3 exons.
CUCGGGCAGCUCCUGCAGCGUCAGCGUCCAUUCCAGCGGCGCGUCGCACGGCGUCACCGUCACCGACAGCGGCGUGUUGUCCUCUUCCACCACAAAGUAGUACCUGGGAGGAACCAUGACGGAUACCCGCCCGGAUGUAGCCGCUGAUCUCGGCGCCGUCGGGAAGGACCGACGAGUCGUGGAAGAUGGACUUGUCUCGGAUCUGCAUCUGGAAAAGUCCCUCAUCUCGCGUGGGCAGCUUCUGCGCCGCAGUCCGCAGAAAACCCAGCAGGACCAGGAACUGCAGUGCACAUUUGGCAAAAUGCAGCUCAACUCGUCAAGUCAAGAUUGACAACAACCUCUCGACCCGACGCCCAAGUCGACGAGGGAAGCCUUCAACUGCACGUGAAAAGCGGCGUGUGAUCAUUUGUCCAUCCUUCCAUUUUUUUCCCGAGACGCUUAUCCUCACGAGGCCAAUCCCAGCUGUCAUCAAGCAGGAGGUGAGGUACACCCUGAACCGGUCGCCGGCCAGUCGCAGGGAACAUCGACACAAAUGACCAUUCGCACCUACAGGCAAUUUAGAGUCUCCGAUGAACGCAUGUUUUUUGGGGGGAUGUGGGAGGAAACCGGAGUGCCUGGAAAGAAAACCGACGCGUGUGCAGGGGAGAACGUGCAAACUCCACACAGGCAAGCUCAGGAUUUGAACCCCGGUCCUCCGAACUGUGAGACAGACGUUUUGGCCACUUACUCCACUGUGGCCCUGAUGAUUUGACAACGGCGCAAAUUCCUGGCAGGCGCGCGGACGUUUUUGCCGUUUUGCAGGAAAUAGCAGAAGACGACGGCAAAAUGUCAUCCGUAGCAGUCGUCGGGUGAUGUUUUCAAUGACUGGAGAGGCGUCAACUUAACUUUUGUCACGUUAGCGCGAGGAGGCGGGGCACACCCUGAACUGGUCGCCAGCCAGUCGCACGUUCCCACUCACAAUCACACCUACGGGCAAGUUACAGUGUCCAGUUAAUGUUGCGUGUGUUUGGGAUGCGGGAGGAAAGUCCACGCAGGCGGGACCGGGACUCGAACCCCGGUCCUCGGAACUGCGCGGCCGACGCUUUCGAGCUGCUCCACCGUCCCGCUUUUGUUCAUCUCUUUUGAACCAAAACCCAUCCAGGCAAGGGAGGCGCCGCGGCGGAUUUCGUGGGAAAGGACGUCCAUCAUCCCCUCAAGAACCAGCGAGGCGAUGACAUCGGGGUGGGGUCGGGGGGCCUCGUGGGAAAAUCGAACGCCCCGUGCCCGAGAAGCAAACCCCACAUCAUGUCCGACGGACGGGAUGUUGUCAUCUGCCGUAUCCGCCCGGAACGAUGGACCGCAAAGCCUCCCGUAUCAUACGCCGGCCACAAAUGAUCCGUCCAUCAAUCCGAGCAGAUAUGAAAACAAUCUGAAUUUGUCCUUCCAAACAAAUUGUGGCAAAAAGAAGCACAUCAACUGCGACUGUACUGCAGUAAAAAAAAGUUGAACGGACAAGUGGGGCGCGCUCGGCGGCCCGAACGCGAGUCAGAGUCGCUCGGCGCCAUUUAAUCCGCCGACGCUUUGAGAAUGACUGAUUUGGGCAUUAGCGCUUAGCCUUAGCGCUUAGCCCCGCUCCACAAUAACUGCGGCAACACUGGCGGAAUUUCUUUCAGCGCCAAGUUUUCAUAUGCAAAUGCCGCUUUAGUUACGCUACGCCACGCGGACCUUCCCCAUUUCGAGACUUUUUUUUUUUUUUUACUCCUUUUUUUUGUUGUUGUUCAUCAUUCAUUGUGGCUUCACCCCAACCCCCCUAAACGCACCAAUUCACACUUUAACCCAGACCUCCCUGACCCCCCACCCCCUCUAAACGCCACCGACUGCAAUCGCUUACCUACACAUUCUGUGCUCUACAUUGAAAUAAAAAUAUCCGGUGAAUCACGUCAAACUCUUCACAGCGGGACGCAUUUUGAGCCCCCGACCCUGGAUUUGGAAACCCCCAAUUCCGUGAUUUCCGACCUUUAUGGAGCCAAAGCGGAUACAAAAUUAUUACAACUGAAAAAUCUCACGGCACACCACGGACGGACAAUCAUUUCCUCUUUCUGCCUCACCGCCAUAAAUACAGCAACAAAGAUCAAUAUGCUUCUUGUCAAUAAUUCAUCUUUUUGGAGCAAUUGAGAAAAAUUCUUGUCAUUUCCCGCCAAUGUUGGGAACCACGGCCCGAAUUCAAACAACCGUCCAGAAUUUCAGAGACCUGAAAGAAAACCAUUCUCACACAAAUAAAGCAAAUGAAUGAUUAUUGAAAAUAUGAUAUUUACAGACAGGCCACUUUCGCAGACACCCGAGGCCAUGGCAACCAAAAAAAAAAGAAAAAUGAAAAAUGGUGCACGUUCAUGAUGUGUUCAGCAAAGACUAAAACUUUACUCAUCAAAACACGAGCGGUGCGUUCAGGGUCAGCAAGUCAAACUGAGCAUAACGGUGCGGAAUUGGUGAACUCGUGGUGAGUUCAAGGUCUGCAACUCCAAUUUGGCUUGAAAAGUGAUGCAUUCCAAACUAAUGCUACGUUCACGGUCCGCAACAUUUGAUGAAUUUAAAAAAAAAAAAAAGUGAUCUCUUGGAUGAAAACACCAGUGGUGCGUUCAGGGUCUGCAUUUCAAUCAAGUGGUUUCCCGAGUAUAUUUUCUUGGAACGAUCACACUGGUGCUGCAUUUGGGGUUCGCAAUCCGCAAUAAUCGUAAUUGAAAGGAGUUAAAGCACAAAAAGAGUGGUUGAAUUAAAAGGCAAGUGGUGCGUUCAGGGUUAACGAGUCAAUCUUUUGAGUGCGCAGUGAAAACAAAAUGCUUUCAUUCAUAAAAAAAAUAAAAACUAAUUAAAGUGGCAUUUGUUGAAUUCAAAUACUACAGAAUUCAAAUGUUUCCGAUUGUAAUUGUUUGUAAACAGUAAAUGUUGAGUUGGUGGUCCGAAAAUGGACAAAUACAUUUCUUGGAUGCUGAGUUCAGGGUUGCCGAAUUGAACUUUUGAGUGCAAAAUAAAACCAUGGUGCGUUCAAUGUCUGCAAUUCAAACUGUGCAAGUCGUCUUCAACAAACGACGACUGUUGCGUUCAGGCUCCGCGAUUGACCAUUGUCAGAUGUCGGAUUCCCAACACGAGCGUCCACAAACUCCCGACGUCACCCAAGUGAUGAAUCCGAAACCCCGAACGGUGCGUUCAGGCUCCGCUCGCCAAAAUUUGCCUGCGAUCGCAUCCCUGCAACCUCUUUGAAACUUUUUCCUCCUUGUUUUAAAACGUCCCGGAGACGCGACCCGCUCACGCCCGUGGAAAAAAACAACAAUCGUCGUUUUUAAAAAAAAAAUAAAAUAAAAAUAGACGCCACUUCCUCGUUUCCGCUUUGAAGGAAAAGCCCGGAAAAAAAAAAUUGGAAAAUAAACCGAAGCGAAGAAGAAGUUGCUCGAACGCAGCGAGCACGAGCGCAGCAACCAGACGCGAAGAAGACGAAGACGACGACGAAGACGACAGCGCAGACCCGAGUCGCGAGUCGCGAGUCGCGCUCUUGUUACCUUCGUCGAGGAGACGUCCGGUGCCGUGCCGAGAU